GACGAACGCUGGCGGCGUGCUUAACACAUGCAAGUCGAACGGAAAGGCCCUGCUUUUGUGGGGUGCUCGAGUGGCGAACGGGUGAGUAACACGUGAGUAACCUGCCCUUGACUUUGGGAUAACUUCAGUAAACUGGGGCUAAUACCGGGUAGGAGCUCCUGCUGCAUGGUGGGGGUUGGAAAGUUUCGGCGGUUGGGGAUGGACUCGCGGCUUAUCAGCUUGUUGGUGGGGUAGUGGCUUACCAAGGCUUUGACGGGUAGCCGGCCUGAGAGGGUGACCGGCCACAUUGGGACUGAGAUACGGCCCAGACUCCUACGGGAGGCAGCAGUGGGGAAUAUUGCACAAUGGGCGGAAGCCUGAUGCAGCAACGCCGCGUGCGGGAUGACGGCCUUCGGGUUGUAAACCGCUUUCGCCUGUGACGAAGCGUGAGUGACGGUAAUGGGUAAAGAAGCACCGGCUAACUACGUG
Molecule: ribosomal RNA, 468 nt
Filed under: uncultured bacterium
Lineage: Bacteria
Description: partial 16S ribosomal RNA
Rfam family: Bacterial small subunit ribosomal RNA
Source: RNAcentral